UAACACGUGGAUAAUCUGCCCUGCACAGGGGGACAACAGCUAGAAAUGGCUGCUAAUACCGCAUAAGCCUACAGCCUCGCAUGAGGGAGUAGGAAAAGAGAUUCGGUGCAGGAUGAGUCCGCGUCUGAUUAGCUAGUUGGAGGGGUAAAAGCCCACCAAGGCAACGAUCAGUAGCCGGCCUGAGAGGGCGACCGGCCACAUUGGGACUGAGACACGGCCCAAACUCCUACGGGAGGCAGCAG
This 242-nucleotide ribosomal RNA is filed under the name uncultured bacterium. RNAcentral describes it as "partial 16S ribosomal RNA". It matches the Rfam family "Bacterial small subunit ribosomal RNA", at positions 111 to 354 of the family's 1533-position model. The record is from RNAcentral.